GCUUGCUUCUCUUGAGAGCGGCGGACGGGUGAGUAAUGCCUAGGAAUCUGCCUGGUAGUGGGGGAUAACGUUCGGAAACGGACGCUAAUACCGCAUACGUCCUACGGGAGAAAGCAGGGGACCUUCGGGCCUUGCGCUAUCAGAUGAGCCUAGGUCGGAUUAGCUAGUUGGUGAGGUAAUGGCUCACCAAGGCGACGAUCCGUAACUGGUCUGAGAGGAUGAUCAGUCACACUGGAACUGAGACACGGUCCAGACUCCUACGGGAGGCAGCAGUGGGGAAUAUUGGACAAUGGGCGAAAGCCUGAUCCAGCCAUGCCGCGUGUGUGAAGAAGGUCUUCGGAUUGUAAAGCACUUUAAGUUGGGAGGAAGGGCAUUAACCUAAUACGUURSUGUUUUGACGUUACCGACAGAAUAAGCACCGGCUAACUCUGUGCCAGCAGCCGCGGUAAUACAGAGGGUGCAAGCGUUAAUCGGAAUUACUGGGCGUAAAGCGCGCGUAGGUGGUUUGUUAAGUUGGAUGUGAAAUCCCCGGGCUCAACCUGGGAACUGCAUUCAAAACUGACUGACUAGAGUAUGGUAGAGGGUGGUGGAAUUUCCUGUGUAGCGGUGAAAUGCGUAGAUAUAGGAAGGAACACCAGUG
This 640-nucleotide ribosomal RNA is filed under the name Pseudomonas fluorescens. Its description in RNAcentral is "bacterial SSU rRNA". It matches the Rfam family "Bacterial small subunit ribosomal RNA", at positions 78 to 714 of the family's 1533-position model. Lineage: Bacteria; Pseudomonadati; Pseudomonadota; Gammaproteobacteria; Pseudomonadales; Pseudomonadaceae. The record is from RNAcentral.